Molecule: long non-coding RNA, 1367 nt
Organism: Salmo salar (Atlantic salmon)
Lineage: Eukaryota; Metazoa; Chordata; Actinopteri; Salmoniformes; Salmonidae
Source: RefSeq, a predicted model, not a curated record
GUUACCGUAGAAACAGAUCACACUGUUGUUUAGUGUAGCUGGUUAGCUAGCAACAUUUUCGCGUAGGAAUUUGUAAUCCAUGACAAAUUAUGUGUACGAGUUGAACAAGUUGCUGCAUCGCUUGUGCGGGAAUUUCUCUGUCGGAAGGAAUCCAAUAGAUAAUGCUAGACUCGACGCCCCCUAAUCUUCUUCUGGUAAAUGAAGAAGACAGCAAAAACAGCAGAGAUGGGCCUCCAUUGAUUGUCCAGUCACAGAGAAUGGUUACAGGGCUGACCGAGCUCUCCCCUGCUGAGAGAAAGCCAACAGCCACGUAGCACACCGGGGAAAGGAAGUGAUGAAGAUGGAUAUGGGUUUGAGAGAGUAGGAAAAAAACAAAAAAAUCAAUGACCAAUCAAAAUGAUGAUCUGCACAUGUCGGAGAAGAUUUUGGAGCUCAUCCUUGGAUCUAGCAGCAGUUUUUCAGUGCCGAGUGGAGGAGUUAGAGUUUCACAUUCUCAGAUACACCUGAUCUGAGAUAUGGGAUUGUACAGAAGAAGGAGCGUGUCAAUUUAUUGCGGUGUGGACGGGCUGUAUUGAAUGUCUUCAACAACCACAAGGAGCUCGAUUCAGGCACUGGAAACCUGAACCUUCUCAAGGGAACAAGAGGUCGCAGUGACAUUUAGAAUGCUGUCUUUAUUUGAACGUUAUAAUAUCUGCAAGCUGUAGGCAGCACAGGAAUAUCUGCCGGCUGCCAAGAUAUCAACACUGAUCUCAUUCCUCCUCUUGAACACUGUAUACGGACAAAAAAGAUGCCAUUGUCGAUUGGAAUGACACCAAGCCCAUACUUUGAUUGGCUAGUGGCUAGAAGGUGAUGACAGUAGAUGAGAUUAGGCCUUCCCCAUGGCUGGAGACAAAAUAUACUGCUUUGUUAUUAAAUAGAUGUACUUACAAGUAUAUUUGUAUUGUAUAAAGUAUAUUAUUUGUAUUGUAUUAAUAGUAUUGUCUUUUAUCAACAACCACACGUUUUGACACGAUCAUGGAGGCCAUUUUGUCCAUGUCACUGAUGUCUUGAGAUGUUGCUUCAAUAUAUCCACAUACUUUUUCUCAUUGGUUUUGAAGAUGUUACAGUAAGUGGUGCAGGAAGUGUUGAUGCAUACGCCUUAAAACGAGUCAUUACCUCAUUGUAUCUUACAUGGACAUGCCCAAGAUAAAUAGGAGUGCCUUGGAUUUGUCAUAGCCUAUGACAUGCAUCUUUCAAGACCAUUAGUCUUAAUGUAUUACAAUAUCCAUAAUGUAUUAUGAUAUGUGGUGUGUAUUUUUGACUAAGUAUUUUAUAUGACUGGUCAGAGUAAUCUGUUUUAUUAAGGUAAAAGUUGUGGAUCACCUGUA